CUGGGGAGUAUAAAUCCUAUGAAUUCAUCGCUGCCUUUACAGACAUCAUGAUGACUAAGAAAAUUUUCACCAUCUUCAGUAAUUCUGGACAAUGCAUUGUGUGCCAUUGGAGGUCACGUCUUUGUUUUGGCAAGGGUCUUCUAUAAUAGAUAUCUCUAGAAACCUUUAAAAACUCACGAUGAG
Long non-coding RNA from Lemur catta (Ring-tailed lemur), 183 nucleotides. RefSeq lists it as uncharacterized. Lineage: Eukaryota; Metazoa; Chordata; Mammalia; Primates; Lemuridae. The record is from RefSeq and is a predicted model, not a curated record. The transcript is spliced from 3 exons.